This 468-nucleotide ribosomal RNA is filed under the name uncultured bacterium. Its description in RNAcentral is "partial 16S ribosomal RNA". It matches the Rfam family "Bacterial small subunit ribosomal RNA", at positions 28 to 507 of the family's 1533-position model. The record is from RNAcentral.
GAUGAACGCUGGCGGCGUGCUUAACACAUGCAAGUCGAACGGAAAGGCCCAAGCUUGCUUGGGUACUCGAGUGGCGAACGGGUGAGUAACACGUGGGUGAUCUGCCCUGCACUUCGGGAUAAGCCUGGGAAACUGGGUCUAAUACCGGAUAGGACGAUGGUUUGGAUGCCAUUGUGGAAAGUUUUUUCGGUGUGGGAUGAGCUCGCGGCCGAUCAGCUUGUUGGUGGGGUAAUGGCCUACCAAGGCGUCGACGGGUAGCCGGCCUGAGAGGGUGUACGGCCACAUUGGGACUGAGAGGCGGGCCAGACUCCGACGGGAGGCAGCAGUGGGGAAUAUUGCACAAUGGGCGCAAGCGUGAGGCAGCGACGCCGCGUGGGGGAUGACGGCCUUCGGGUUGUAAACUCCUUUCGCUAGGGACGAAGCGUUUUUGUGACGGUACCUGGAGAAGAAGCACCGGCUAACUACGUG